GAUGAACGCUGGCGGCGUGCCUAAUACAUGCAAGUCGAGCGAACAGACGAGGAGCUUGCUCCUCUUACGUUAGCGGCGGACGGGUGAGUAACACGUAGAUAACCUACCUAUAAGACUGGGAUAACUUCGGGAAACCGGAUCUAAUACCGGAUAAUAUAUUGAACCGCAUGGUUCAAUAGUGAAAAACGGUUUUGCUGUCACUUAUAGAUGUAUCCGCGCCGCAUUAGCUAGUUGGUAAGGUAACGGCUUACCAAGGCAACGAUGCGUAGCCGACCUGAGAGGGUGAUCGGCCACACUGGAACUGAGACACGGUCCAGAAUCCUACGGGAGGCAGCAGUAGGGAAUCUUCCGCAAUGGGCGAAAGCUUGACGGAGCAACGGCGCGUGAGUGAUGAAGGUCUUCGGAUCUGAAAACUCUGUUAUUAGGGAAGAACAAAUGUGUAAGUAACUAUGCACGUCUUGAAGGUACCUAAUCAGAAAGCCACGGCUAACUACGUG
Molecule: ribosomal RNA, 497 nt
Filed under: uncultured bacterium
Lineage: Bacteria
Description: partial 16S ribosomal RNA
Rfam family: Bacterial small subunit ribosomal RNA
Source: RNAcentral